UACGUAGGGGGCUAGCGUUAUCCGGAAUUACUGGGCGUAAAGGGUGCGUAGGUGGUUUCUUAAGUCAGAGGUGAAAGGCUACGGCUCAACCGUAGUAAGCCUUUGAAACUGGGAAACUUGAGUGCAGGAGAGGAGAGUGGAAUUCCUAGUGUAGCGGUGAAAUGCGUAGAUAUUAGGAGGAACACCAGUGGCGAAGGCGACUUGCUGGACAUUAACUGACGCUGAAGCGCGAAAGCGUGGGGAGCAAACAGGAUUAGAUACCCCUGUAGUCCCUGAG
Molecule: ribosomal RNA, 277 nt
Filed under: uncultured prokaryote
Description: partial 16S ribosomal RNA
Rfam family: Bacterial small subunit ribosomal RNA
Source: RNAcentral